GCCUGGGUGGCUUAGUGGGUUGAGCAUCUGACUUCAGCUCAGGUCAUGAACUCACGGUUUGUGGGUUUGAGCCCCCGCAUCGGGCU
This 86-nucleotide transfer RNA is filed under the name Felis catus (domestic cat). It matches the Rfam family "tRNA". Rfam says of the family: Transfer RNA (tRNA) molecules are approximately 80 nucleotides in length. Their secondary structure includes four short double-helical elements and three loops (D, anti-codon, and T loops). Further hydrogen bonds mediate the characteristic L-shaped molecular structure. tRNAs have two regions of fundamental functional importance: the anti-codon, which is responsible for specific mRNA codon recognition, and the 3' end, to which the tRNAs corresponding amino acid is attached (by aminoacyl-tRNA synthetases). tRNAs cope with the degeneracy of the genetic code in two manners: having more than one tRNA (with a specific anti-codon) for a particular amino acid; and 'wobble' base-pairing, i.e. permitting non-standard base-pairing at the 3rd anti-codon position. The record is from Rfam by way of RNAcentral. Lineage: Eukaryota; Metazoa; Chordata; Mammalia; Carnivora; Felidae.